This 461-nucleotide ribosomal RNA is filed under the name uncultured bacterium. RNAcentral describes it as "partial 16S ribosomal RNA". It matches the Rfam family "Bacterial small subunit ribosomal RNA", at positions 28 to 507 of the family's 1533-position model. The record is from RNAcentral.
GGUGAACGCUGGCGGCGUGCUUAAGACAUGCAAGUCGAACGAUCGUCUUCGGACGGUAGUGGCGCACGGGUGAGUAACGCGUAACUGACCUGCCCCCAAGCUCCGAAUAACCCUCCGAAAGGAUGGCUAAUACGGGAUCUGCUGUCCCCUCCUGUCGGGCCAGUCAAGGCUUGACCGCUUGGGGAUGGGGUUGCGUUCCAUGAGCUGGAUGUUGGGGUAAAGGCCUACCAUGGAAACAAUGCAUAACCGGUCUGAGGUGGGGGCCGGUAACCGGGGCACUGAGACACGGGUUCCACUCCUGCGGGAGGCAGCAGUGAGGAAUCGGGAACAAUGCACGAAAGUCGGAGGGAGCGAGGCCGAGUGAGGGGUGAGGGUUGUCGGAUCGUAGGUCUCUGAAUCAGGGAGGAUAGACGCGGAAGCGAGAGGAGGGUACCGGAGUAAUAGCACCGGCUAACUCCGUG